Long non-coding RNA from Neofelis nebulosa (Clouded leopard), 587 nucleotides. RefSeq lists it as uncharacterized. NCBI's taxonomy places the organism in Eukaryota, Metazoa, Chordata, Mammalia, Carnivora, Felidae. The transcript has 4 exons. The record is from RefSeq and is a predicted model, not a curated record.
ACAAGCUCUUCUAAGGGAGGAGAAUUAUUUUGUGUGGGUGCGUUCACAACAAGCCUUCAAGAGGUUGAGCAGAAAAGAGGAAAUAUGCUGAACAUUUUAGGAGGUGGCAAAGCCCUGACUCUCAGAUCUAAGAAGAAGCUGCUGGCAGUAGGAGUCUCCAGACUUCCGCCAGCAUCUAUGAAAGUGUGGCAGGCCUACUUAAUAGCUGACAGAGAGAUGGAGCACAAGUGGGGAGGGUCAGAGAGAGAGGAAGACACAGAAUCUGAAGCAGGCUGCAGGCUCUGAGCUGUAAGCACAGAGACCAACAUGGGGUCCGAACUCACAAACCAUAAGAUCAUGACCUGAGCCGAAGUUGGACGCCUAACCAACUGAGCCACCCAGGCGCCCCAAGAAUUAAUGAAUUUUAAUUUUAAUACAAUAAAUAGUGAUACAUUUAAUCCACAUAAGCAAAAACUGCUCAUAUUCCUCAACCUUGUAAAGUGUGUGGGGUAGGUGUUUUUGUUGUUGUUGUUGUUUUGUGUUUUUUUUUUUUAAUGCUUAAAGUAUUUAUUUUUAAAAUAUGUGAAGGAGGUCCUUAGAGAAAACAC